GAUCAAUCAGCUGCAGAAAAAGAUACAGAAGACAACCAGCUGUCAAAAUAAAACAGGAAAGCAGUUUGACUAACAAACUCAAACUUGACAUAGAAAGCGUCACGAGGGAAGGCGAGGAAAAUAACACAAAAUAAACUCAGAGUUGGACUUUAACCUAGAAGUGAAGCCAUAAAUUCAAACUCCUCUUACUGGGACUGCAAAGCAGACAUCGGGCACUCAGGAGGCUGAUUUGUUUUAAGAUGAGGGGACUCACACUGCUUAUGGUGGGAAUUAUUCUGGCAGCACUGACAGAUCUGCCUUUGACAGACUUUUCAUUUGCAGAGGCUGGAUAUUUACAUAUGAGGCCAAUGGGAGGUACAAACGGGACGUCCAACUCAACAGUGCCACAAGAGGAAACCGCAGAAAAUAAAGUUGUUGCGCAGUGGAAUGGCACCAUUAGGCCAGUGGAAAGUGAUUUUGGGUUCCCUCCUACAGAGCCCCUCCAACAGAGCCCCCAGAAGGACAACAAAGGAAACACACAAAAGUGAAAACACACAGCAGAUGGUUCAACUCAACAGAGCAAACACAUCUGAAGUCCUGAAGGAGAAAUACUGCCAACAUGAAGAAGCCCAGGCCAUUUAUUCAUUCUGCUGCUGCUUAUUUUAAUUGUGAAUUCACAAAAAAAAAAGAAAAAAAAUACUGUGUGAAAAAUUCGGUUUUUUUCUAAUGUGGUUGGUGUGAAUGGUAUAGUGGUUAGCACUGUGGCCUCACAGGAAGAAGGUCCUGGGUUUGAACCUGCUGACUGGCCAUAGCUUUUUCUCUGUGUAUGUGUGGGUACUCGUGUUGCCCCACAAAGGCAUGCAGGUGUGAGUAUGAGCAUGUGUGGUCAUCUAUCACUGUGUCGCAACUAAUAUUGUGCUGCAAUGAACUAAAUGUAACAAAUCUUUACUGAUGGUCCAAUAAUAAAGCAGCAUAAAUCCAGAGGCAGGAGUAACACACUGGGAGUAAAACAAAGCUACUCUUUUUUUCUUGUCUAUACAUCAGUAGAACCAUCAAGUUUUCACUUUUCCCAGUUAUCUACAUCUCUGACUUUAGCUAAUUAGCUAGCUGGUAGUCACAGCUGUGUAAAACCCUGAGAGAAGCAGACAGCUAACUAUAGUAUUUAUGAAAAGUGGUCCAGACACUGGGGGGCAAAGUUGGUGGUAUCAUAACGACAAAUAACUUCAAUAUUAACUAAAAUGGGAAGCUUAAGUCAUGUUAAACCCUGAAAAACUUUGUCUUUUGAAAAACAUUAUUUUAAUUUAAAAAAACCCAAAAGCUUUAAUAUUUACCACAGAAAUGUGAAGGCAGUUUCUCCAGCUCCAAAGUCCAAAAUCCAAAUGAAGCCUGAAAAAAGUGUAAUGGCUGCACUUGCUCUUACUUUUCCCUUCUUUUGGGGUUCUUGCUCCCACAAUGCAUUGCAGUAGUUAAGAAAUACAGAAAAAAUAUCUGUAAAUGGCUAAUAUACUUCACAUUUAUACAGAACAUUGUUCUAUAUUUUUACAAUUUUUUUUGCAGUGUAUUUGGGUUUCAUAUGGGCUUGUUAUAAAAUCUGACUUCAUUUCAAAUUUUGCGUCAAAUUCCAUAUAUAUUAACACACAUAUAAAAUUUGGGUUUUUUCUUCUUCCUGUUAAACGGGAGUUUUUCCUUUCCACUGUCGCUAAAGCACUUGCUCACAGGGGGUCGUAUAAUUGCUGGGGUUUUCUCUGUUGUAUUAUUGUAGGGACUGCCUUACAAUAUAAAAUGCCCCGAGGCGACUGUUAUUGUGAUUUGGUGCAGUAUAAAUAAAUUAAAUAGACUUUGUUAGUUGUUGUUGUUCAAAGCAAUCUAGAGACAUUCACACAGGGCACUUUAUUUUCUGUUUUUCCUUGUCAUUGUCCUUUACAGUAAAUCUCAACUUCUUAGUGUGAGCACUUGCUGCUUCUCUUUGUGAAAUGUGACAGAAAACCAAACAACUUGGGGUUUUAUUGGUUUAAGACACAACUAUGAAAAUGUGGAACCAAAAAAGUCACAGUACUGCUUUACAUUAUACCUGCUUACACUCUAAAAAUGCAUAUGAAUACAAGAAACAAAGGAAAUGUCUUUAGGAAAACUUCUGUGAAUUAUAGUAAUUUUACAUAUGUUUGUGUGUGUGUGUGUGUGUGUGUGUGUGUGUGUGUGUGUGUAUCUAUAUCACCAAAUUAACAUCUGCCCUGUUGUUGAGAAUAAAACAGACUUUGGGCAGGUAAGCAAACAAAUCUGAACAAAUUUGAACUUUGAUGUUAAACAAGAGCUGAAGUAAAACAGCCUCCACCUACAAACACAUGCAUUAUAAAACAAGUCUAAAUGCUCACUGGAGGCUGAUUACAAAAUGAGAGGACUCACACUGCUCUGUUUGGUGGGAUUCAUUCUCACAGCUUCGUUGCAUAAAGGAAGCACAGCACCAGCAGAGAAUAAUAUUGGAUAUUUACCUGCAAGGCCAAUGGAAGGUACAAACGGGACGUCCAACUCAACAGUGCCACAAGAGGAAAGCGGUGAAAAUAAAGUUUUUGUGCAGUGGAAUGGCACCAUUAGACCAGUGGAAAGUGAUUUUGGGUUCCCUCCUACAGAGCCCCUCCAACAGAGCCCCCCGAAGGACACCAAAGGAAACACACAAAAGUAAAGACACAACAAACAGUUCAACUCACCAGAGCAAACACAUUUGAAGUCCUGGAGGAGAAAUACUGGCAUCAACGUGAAGAAGCCCCAGGCCAUUUAUUCAUUCUGCUGCUGCUUAUUUUAAUUGUAAAUUCUUUCUUUUCUUUUCUUUUUUAAACUACUGUGUGAAAACUUGAAAACUUGAACCUGCUGACUGGCCAUAGCUUUCCUCUGUGUAUGUGUGGCCCCCAGCCAUUUCUAAAUGUAUGUAUUUGGGUUUCAUAUGGGCUUGUUAUUAUAAAAUCUGACUUGAUUUUAAAUUUCGUGUCAAAUUCCAUAUAUAAACACAUUUAUAAAAUUUGGGGUUUUUGUUCCUGUUAAAAGGGAUGUUUUCCUUCCCACUGUCACUAAAGCACUUGCUCAUAGGGGAUCAUAUAAUUGUUGGGGUUUUCUCUGUUGUAUUAUUGUAAGGACUACCUUACAAUAUAAAAUACCCUGAGGCAACUGUUAUUGUGAUUUGGCGCUGCAUAAAUAAAUUAAAUAGACUUUGUUAGUUGUUUUUUCUUUAAACUGCCUAUUCGUCAACUACCCCUUACAAAGCACACAGUGUCUUGUCGGUCCUUUUUAACACCAGUUAAAUAAUAGCAAUAAUAAUGUAAAUAAUAAUAAAAUGAUAAUGUGAUUUAUUUAAUUUAUAUUUAAAAUUAACAAUUGAAAUAUUUUAAAAAUCACAAAUAAAAUGACCCUUUUCCUUUAGCCGUAACACUUAAGAGCCAGCAGGCAUUAAAUAGUCAUAAUAGAUUCACUGCUGUGAAAGUAACAAAUUGUAUAGAUGUUUGUGUUAAAAUUCAAAGCAAUCUAGAGACAUUCACACAGGGCACUUUAUUUUGUGUUUUUCCUUGUCAUUGUCCUUUACAGUAAAUCUCAACUUCUUAGUGUGAGCAGUGCUUCUUUGUGAAAUAUGACAGAAAACCAAACAACUUGGGGUUUUAUUGAUUUAAGACACAACUAUGAAAAUGUGGAACCAAUAAAAUCACAGUACUGCUUUACAUCGCAAAUACCUGCUUACACUCUAAAAAUGGAUAUGAAUACAAGAAAAUCUACUGUUUUCAAAUGAAGGUAAAUUUGAAAACAGUACAUUGCUGUCCGUCCGUCCGUCCGUGUAUAUAUGACUCAAUGCCCCGCACCUGGAUCCUGGAAUGCAUAGAAAUGUACUGCAUAGUUCUGCAUAGGGCUGAACCCCCUCAGUGAGAUCAUCAACAAGACUGGCUAUGGAUGCCGACUACAGAGUGGAGCAGUUGUCAGCCACUUCCUGUACAUGGAUGACAUCAGGCUGUAUGCCAAGAGUGAAUGAGACUGAUCCACACCACCAGUAUAUACAGCAAUGACAUCGGAAUGUCGUUUGACUGGAGAAAUGUAGUUGGAUGAUAACAAAGAGAGGGAAGGUAGUCAGAACUGAGGGGAUCGAACAACCAGAAUGCAACAUUGCAGGCACAGAGGACAGCCACAAUUACCUGGGGAUCCCAGCAGGUACAUGGGAACCAUGAAGAGGUCUGUAGAAAAGUACCUGCAGAGGGUCAGGCAAGUCCUGAGGAGUCAACAGAAUGGGAAGAACAAGAUCCGGGCUAUCAACACCUACCCCCUGCCCGUGAUCAGGUACCCUUCUGGGAUAAUAAGCUGACCAAAGAAGGAGAUAGAAGCCACUGACAUCAAGACAAGGAACUCCUGACCGUGCAUGGAGAGUUUCACCCCAAGUCCAGCACCCUGAGGCUGUACGCUAAACGGAAGGAAGAAGGCCAACGGACAUCGAUGAAUGCAUCUUCCUGAUGCAUUCGUGGAUGUCUGUUGGCCCCAACUGACCGCGUGCUCAGUGAAUACCUCAGGCAACAGAAACAUGAGGAAGAGGAGGAACCAUCAUGGAAGGAUGGUACGGCACGGUAUGUACCACAGGCAGAUAGAGGAAGUGGCUGGCAUCCAGAAAUCCUACCAGUGGCUGGACAAAGCUGGACUGAAAGACGGCACAGAGGCACUAAUCAUGGCAGCACAGGAACAAGCUCUGAGCACAAGAUCCAUAGAGGCUGGGGUCUAUCACACCAGGCAAGACCCCAGGUGCAGGCUGUGCAAAGAUGCCCCUGAGACAAUCCAGCCCAUAACAGCAGGGUGUAAGAUGCUAGCAGGCAGGGCAUACAUGGAACGCCAUAACCAAGUGGCCGGCAUACAGAAACAUCUGUGCCGACUAUGGCCUGGAAGUCCCGAAGUCAAAAUGGGACUUCCUUAUAAUAGAAAAGUCUAUUAUAACAUGUAGGGUGGUGGAGAAUGACCGAGCUAAGAUCCUGUGGGAAUUCCGGAUACAGACGGACAAAAUGGUGGUGGCUAACCAACCGGACAUAGUCGUGGUAGACAAACUGAAGAAGAUGGCUGUAGUGAUCGAUGUAGCGGUUCCCAACAUCAGCAACAUCAGGAAGAAGGAUAAUGAGAAGCUUGAGAAAUACCAAGGGCUCAGAGAAGAUGUGGAGGGUGAAGGUUCCCACUGGUAAUCGAAACACUAGGUGCAGUGACUCUAAAGCUAGGCGAGUGGCUCCAGCAGAUCCCGGGAACAACAUUGGACAUCUCUGUCCAGAAAAGCGCAGUCCUAGGAACAGCUAAGAUACUGCGCAGGACCCUCAAGCUCCCAGGCCUCUGGUAGAGGACCCGAGGAUAGACCGCCCGCAGGGGCGAGUGGGGAAUUCUAACAAAGAUGCCUUGAUUUUAAAAAAAAUAGAUAACUAACAGACGUUAAAAUAUUUCAAUAUAUUUCAAAUAAAGUCAUAAUUAGAGGGGACGCCCAUGAGAGCACUCAGCCUCACCAAAUUAACAUCUGCCCUGUUGUUGAGAAUAAAACAGACUUUGGGCAGGUAAGCAAACAAAUCUGAACAAAUUUGAACUUUGAUGUUAAACAAGAGCUGAAGUAAAACAGCCUCCACCUACAAACACAUGCAUUAUAAAACAGGUCUAAACGCUCACUGGAGGCUGAUUACAAAAUGAGAGGACUCACACUGCUCUGUUUGGUGGGAUUCAUUCUCACAGCUUCGCUGCAUGAAGGAAGCACAGCACCAGCAAAGAAUAAUUUGUGCCAUGGGUGCUGGAAUAGCUUUGAAGGUACACGUGAUGGAACAGAAUCAGCUGGGGGAAAUGACACACAGAACAAGACCUUGCAUCUUCAUCCAAAUAAUGCUACUCAUGCUGGAAAUGCCACAGAGGUUCAUCACAACAAUACAGCUGCAGCAAAACUGAUAGAAGACCCGUGAUGCUAAAAAUGUGGAAACAUGAAUCUUCACAGAGACAGACGACCGUGAUUCUGCUGGUGUUACUGUCUACUCUGAAUAAACACUAAAAUGAUGUUUUGAGAAAAAGAUUUUCUUAUUUGUUAACAUGUAUCCUAUAGGAUCAUUUAAAAUGUGUUUUUUAAACACAUUUAAGAGCUUAAACGUUCAUGUCCAAACACACAUAAAACACCUAUUCUGACAAAAUGAGUCGGUGCCACACUGACACUCUGCUGUCUUGCUUCUUCAUGAGUAUCAUCACUGUGGUUGAUCUAAAUUCCCAUCUUUUGUCCUUUUGCUGUUUUAAACACCAAAUCCACAAAAACGGUUUGUGACAAACUAACUCGACAUGACAGCACCUGUGUGUUACAGGAGCUGCUCCUGCUUUACAAAUUUACACCAUUAAUACAAAAUAACCUGACUCGCACUGCUGUAUUCUCACAGCAUCACAGAGACACUCAUAUCACUGAUGGAUGUUCACAGAGUUACUGAACAGAAAAAAUUAAAUGCAUAUAUAUUUAGAUUUUUGUAGUUUUAUAAUUUUUGGACCAGAUGGAAACACAAGCUUGACUUAAAUAUAUUUUUUCACCAAGAAUCGGCUGGAGUGUGUCUCAUGCUGCUGAGCCUCUAAGAUUCGAUGAAUAAUUACUUUGCUGUUUUGUUUG
Long non-coding RNA from Oreochromis aureus, 6601 nucleotides. NCBI's taxonomy places the organism in Eukaryota, Metazoa, Chordata, Actinopteri, Cichliformes, Cichlidae. The record is from Ensembl.